AAGUAUGAGUUAGUGGCGGACGGGUGAGUAACGCGUGGGCAACCUGCCUUACACAGGGGGAUAACAGUUAGAAAUGACUGCUAAUACCGCAUAAGACCACAAAACCGCAUGGUUUGGUGGUAAAAACUCCGGUGGUGUAAGAUGGGCCCGCGUCUGAUUAGGUAGUUGGUGGGGUAACGGCCUACCAAGCCGACGAUCAGUAGCCGACCUGAGAGGGUGACCGGCCACAUUGGGACUGAGACACGGCCCAGACUCCUACGGAAGGCAGCAG
Molecule: ribosomal RNA, 271 nt
Filed under: uncultured bacterium
Lineage: Bacteria
Description: partial 16S ribosomal RNA
Rfam family: Bacterial small subunit ribosomal RNA
Source: RNAcentral